This 777-nucleotide ribosomal RNA is filed under the name Triticum aestivum (bread wheat). Its description in RNAcentral is "partial small subunit ribosomal RNA". Lineage: Eukaryota; Viridiplantae; Streptophyta; Magnoliopsida; Poales; Poaceae. The record is from RNAcentral.
AUGAGUGCUGAAACAAAGACAAGAUACAUGUCUAGGAAAAACACCCCGUGCCCUGAAUCCAUUGCAAUGCGACGUCCAGAUUUACCUACUACAUCUGCGACCAAUCAGUCUUUGCACAGUGGUGCAUCACCUGUGUCAACGAACAUGGCAGGACACUCCUUCAAAUCUAAUGAUUCGUUGUCCGCCGAAAAUGCGUCAGCAACUCGUGGCCCCACGUACAUUCGCAACAUCGAAACCGAUGGUGCCUAUCUAAGCAGAACCUUAGGUGAUGGUGCUGUAGAUGGCAACCUCAUAACAAUCAAUGAGCACCUAACAAGUGCCGACCAGCAAACCAGUGAUCGGCUAACAAUAGCGGAUAAUGGAGCUGACGAGCAGAGGCAUGAGUCCAGAGCAAAGCGUAGGACGAGAGAGCGAUCUUGCAAGGGAAGUAUGGCGGCGAAGAAGCAUCAUGAGAAAAUUGGCAAGCGGAAAUCAUGUACGAAGGUGCCACAUGGUGAGAGGAACGCUCUGCUAGAUCGUCGUAAUGAAAGCUUUGCAGGUAGGGUGAAGACACCAAGCGUCAGGUCCAUCUCCAUACCGGAAAUGAGCUCAACUGGACAACCUACCAUAGUUGAAGCACACGGUGCCUCAACCUCAUCUAGCACGCCGGAGUACACGAUCAGAAGUGAAGGUAACACUCCAAUCCUUACUCUCCUUGCGUCCCUUGAGUCUGAACCUUCAUUUAUUGGUUUCGCACCUGAGCAGACGACAUGGACGCUUACCUUAGUUGUCUCAUGA